RNAcentral lists this ribosomal RNA (473 nucleotides) under uncultured bacterium. Its description in RNAcentral is "bacterial SSU rRNA". It matches the Rfam family "Bacterial small subunit ribosomal RNA", at positions 355 to 825 of the family's 1533-position model. The record is from RNAcentral.
UGGGGAAUUGUUCACAAUGGGCGCAAGCCUGAUGACGCAACGCCGCGUGGGGGAUGAAGGUCUUUGGAUCGUAAACCCCUGUCGAAUGGGACGAAAGACUCGCGAGUGAAUACUUCGCGAGAGUGACGGUACCGUUAAAGGAAGCCACGGCUAACUCUGUGCCAGCAGCCGCGGUAAUACAGAGGUGGCAAGCGUUGUUCGGAAUUACUGGGCGUAAAGGGCGCGUAGGCGGCCCUCUAAGUCAGACGUGAAAUCCCCCGGCUUAACCUGGGAACUGCGUCUGAUACUGGAGGGCUUGAGUAUGGGAGAGGGAUGUAGAAUUCCAGGUGUAGCGGUGAAAUGCGUAGAUAUCUGGAGGAAUACCGGUGGCGAAGGCGGCAUCCUGGACCAUUACUGACGCUGAGGCACGAAAGUGUGGGUAGCAAACAGGAUUAGAUACCCUUGUAGUCCCUGAGCGGGCUGGCAAGGCGCAU